Molecule: small RNA, 689 nt
Filed under: Pan troglodytes (chimpanzee)
Lineage: Eukaryota; Metazoa; Chordata; Mammalia; Primates; Hominidae
Description: retained intron
Source: RNAcentral
AGCCCAUGUCUCACGAACUACCCUGUGGCCAAACUCAGACAGUCCAGGCACAUUAUAUUCUGAAUGGAGGCGCCCUGCAGGGGCUGGAGAAGCUCUCCUUCUAUUAUCUGAUAAUGGCAAAGGGAGGCAUUGUCCGAACUGGGACUCAUGGACUGCUUGUGAAGCAGGAAGACAUGAAGGGCCAUUUUUCCAUCUCAAUCCCUGUGAAGUCAGACAUUGCUCCUGUUGCUCGGUUGCUCAUCUAUGCCGUUUUACCUACCGGGGACGUGAUUGGGGAUUCUGCAAAAUAUGAUGUUGAAAAUUGUCUGGCCAACAAGGUGGAUUUGAGCUUCAGCCCAUCACAAAGUCUCCCAGCCUCACACGCCCACCUGCGAGUCUCAGCGGCUCCUCAGUCCGUCUGCGCCCUCCGUGCUGUGGACCAAAGCGUGCUGCUCAUGAAGCCUGAUGCUGAGCUCUCGGCGUCCUCAGUGAGUUCCCGGCAGCCUCAGGAAUCAAGAAGGGCCAUGCCAGGGGCUCAGAGCAAGGAAAAAUGACUGGAUAAGUAGGAUAAGAUCAAUUAAAAUUAUAUUUAUCUAGGAAUUAAUUGCUUUGAGCUCUCUUGUGGGCUUUCAUUGGUAAGGAAUUUUAUAUAUAUAUAUAAAACUACUCACUUCUGCAGUUAAAAAAUAAACAAAAUACAAUAUAUUGAA